RNAcentral lists this ribosomal RNA (153 nucleotides) under Carlito syrichta (Philippine tarsier). RNAcentral's name for it is "5.8S ribosomal RNA (ENSTSYG00000032430.1)". It matches the Rfam family "5.8S ribosomal RNA". From Rfam's summary of the family: 5.8S ribosomal RNA (5.8S rRNA) is a component of the large subunit of the eukaryotic ribosome. It is transcribed by RNA polymerase I as part of the 45S precursor that also contains 18S and 28S rRNA. Functionally, it is thought that 5.8S rRNA may be involved in ribosome translocation. Lineage: Eukaryota; Metazoa; Chordata; Mammalia; Primates; Tarsiidae. The record is from Rfam by way of RNAcentral.
GACUCUCAGCGUUGGAUCACUCGGCUUGUGGGUCGAUGAAGAACGCAGUUAGCUGCGAGGGUUCAGGUGAAUUGCAGGACACGUUGAUCAUCGACACUUCCAACGCACUUGCGGCCCUUUGUUCCUCCCAGGCCUACACCUGUCUGAGUGUCG